UCCUAUGGGCGGGCCUUGGCGGGGGAGCCUUCGGGCUCGCUGGUUCCUUCUUACCGGUCUGCUAACCUCGCCAUGCGCCCGCCCACCCCG
This is a non-coding RNA of Cupriavidus basilensis, 90 nucleotides long. The record is from Rfam. Lineage: Bacteria; Pseudomonadati; Pseudomonadota; Betaproteobacteria; Burkholderiales; Burkholderiaceae.